Molecule: long non-coding RNA, 580 nt
Filed under: Cairina moschata (Muscovy duck)
Lineage: Eukaryota; Metazoa; Chordata; Aves; Anseriformes; Anatidae
Description: domestica (muscovy Duck (domestic type)) lncRNA (ENSCMMG00000010390.1)
Source: RNAcentral
GUGUGCUGGUCCUGGAGCCUCCGCACUGUGCAAAUGAAGCCGCUCGUGGGGACCUCGCCGGGCGCGGGGGAAGAGGCGCAGGGACGUGCCCAGGGGCGUGCGGCGCGGCAGCGGCACAGGAGGGGCUGCCGGCAGAGCCCCCCGGCUCGCAGGGAGCAGCAGGCAGAGCCGGCCGGGCUCCCCGCGUCUCCGGAUGAAGGGAGGAUGAGCAGUCCCCAGGGGCACCCGGACGGGGUCGUGGCCGGGAGCGAGCAGAGCACGGAGCGCGUCAGCGAGGAGCCGGGCAAGGACAGGCAGGAGCUGGCCGUGCGCACCGGGGACAGUGACGGCACCGAGGAAGGUGAGUCCCUGUCCGGGUCCCGGGCUGGGUCCCCUCGUGGGGGGGCUUGAAGUGUCUGGGGUGUUGGGAUCUGAUGGGGUUUGGCUCCCAUGGUGGAGACCCAGGGACUGGUUUGGGGGAUGUGAAACCCUGCUGGUGCUGGGGGAAGGAUCGGGGCGCUCUCACGCUGGGACAGGAGGGCAGAGGGAGGAGGAGAAGCAGACCAAAGCCUCCACGAGCGGUCUCUCCAGCGGUGUCACU